UGGGGAAUAUUGCACAAUGGAGGGAACUCUGAUGCAGCGACGCCGCGUGAACGAAGAAGGCUUUCGAGUCGUAAAGUUCUUUUAUAUGGGAAGAUAAUGACGGUACCAUAAGAAAAAGCCCCGGCUAACUACGUGCCAGCAGCCGCGGUAAUACGUAGGGGGCUAGCGUUGUCCGGAAUCACUGGGCGUAAAGGGUUCGCAGGCGGAAAUGCAAGUCAGGUGUAAAAGGCAGUAGCUUAACUACUGUAAGCAUUUGAAACUGCAUAUCUUGAGAAGAGUAGAGGUAAGUGGAAUUUUUAGUGUAGCGGUGAAAUGCGUAGAUAUAUGGAGGAACACCAGUGGCGAAGGCGACUCUCUGGUCUGUAACUGACGCUGAGGCUCGAAAGCGUGGGUAGCAAACAGG
This 403-nucleotide ribosomal RNA is filed under the name Bacteroidota bacterium. RNAcentral's name for it is "Bacteroidetes bacterium partial 16S ribosomal RNA". It matches the Rfam family "Bacterial small subunit ribosomal RNA", at positions 355 to 776 of the family's 1533-position model. Lineage: Bacteria; Pseudomonadati; Bacteroidota. The record is from RNAcentral.